CCUACGGGAGGCAGCAGUGAGGAAUAUUGGUCAAUGGACGAGAGCCUGAACCAGCCAAGCAGCGUGAAGGAUGACUGCCCUAUGGGUUGUAAACUUCUUUUAUCAAGGAAUAAAACGAGCCACGCGUGCCUUUUUGCGUGUACUCUAUGAAUAAGGAUCGGCUAACUCCGUGCCAGCAGCCGCGGUAAUACGGAGGAUCCGAGCGUUAUCCGGAUUUAUUGGGUGUAAAGGGAGCGUAGAUGGGUUGUUAAGUCAGUUGUGAAAGUUUGCGGCUCAACCGUAAGAUUGCAAUUGAAACUGGCAGUCUUGAGUACAGUUGAGGUAGUCGGAAUUCGUGGUGUAGCGGUGAAAUGCGUAGAUAUCACGAAGAACCCCGGUUGCGAAGGCAGAUUACUAAACUGUGACUGACAUUGAUGCGCGAAAGUGUGGGUAGCAAACAGGAUUAGAUACCCCUGUAGUC
This 460-nucleotide ribosomal RNA is filed under the name uncultured bacterium. Its description in RNAcentral is "partial 16S ribosomal RNA". It matches the Rfam family "Bacterial small subunit ribosomal RNA", at positions 338 to 795 of the family's 1533-position model. The record is from RNAcentral.